RNAcentral lists this ribosomal RNA (253 nucleotides) under uncultured bacterium. RNAcentral's name for it is "partial 16S ribosomal RNA". It matches the Rfam family "Bacterial small subunit ribosomal RNA", at positions 524 to 776 of the family's 1533-position model. The record is from RNAcentral.
UACGGGGGGGGCAAGCGUUGUUCGGAAUUACUGGGCGUAAAGGGCGCGUAGGCGGUUCGCUAAGUUGAAUGUGAAAACUCUGGGCUUAACCCAGAGCCUGCAUUCAAUACUGGCGGGCUAGAGUUCUGGAGGGGAUAGCGGAAUUCCUGGUGUAGCGGUGAAAUGCGUAGAUAUCUGGAGGAACACCGGUGGCGAAGGCGGCAUCCUGGACCAACACUGACGCUGAGGAGCGAAAGCCAGGGGAGCAAACGGG